GAAUGAACAGGGAUCAGCUCAGCAUGGAAAUUGGGGCCUCUGGCCUUGAAUUGUAGUCUUGAGAUGGCUUCGCCAGCGGAGGCGCAGAUGUAAGCCUCUUGGAAAAGAGCAUCAAUGAGGGUGAGAGUCCCGUUUGUCAUCUGCAGUCCCCCGUGCACGGCUUGCUUUCUAAGAGUCACGUUCCUUGGGAUUGGAGCGCAAAUUGGGUGGUAAAUUUCAUCUAAAGCUAAAUAUUGGUUCGAGACCGAUAGCAAACAAGUACCAUGAGGGAAAGGUGAAAAGGACUUUGAAAAGAGAGUUAAAAGUGCCUGAAAUUGCUGAAAGGGAAGCGAAUGGAACCAGUUUUUCUUGGCGAGAUUGUUGCGUGCUAAUGUGAUGGCUUGUUGCUUCAACGCAAGUGUUGCAGCGGGUUUUGAUCUGACGUG
RNAcentral lists this ribosomal RNA (425 nucleotides) under Takayama helix. RNAcentral's name for it is "LSU rRNA". It matches the Rfam family "Eukaryotic large subunit ribosomal RNA", at positions 91 to 518 of the family's 3401-position model. Lineage: Eukaryota; Dinophyceae; Gymnodiniales; Kareniaceae. The record is from RNAcentral.